UAGUACAGUGGCGGACGGGUGAGUAACACGUGGUCAACGUGCCUCCGGGACCGGGAUAGCCAUCCGAAAGGGUGGGUAAUACCGGAUAAGACCACGACGUCGCAUGGCGUCGGGGUCAAAGUUUUUCGCCCGGAGAGCGGACCGCGGCCUAUCAGCUUGUUGGUGAGGUAACGGCUCACCAAGGCGACGACGGGUAGCCGACCUGAGAGGGUGGCCGGCCACACUGGGACUGAGACACGGCCCAGACUCCUACGGGAGGCAGCAGUGCUGAAUCAUUCACAAUGGGCGAAAGCCUGAUGAUGCGACGCCGCGUGCGGGAUGAAGGCCUUCUGGGUUGUAAACCGCUGUCAGGACUUAGGAAGAUCUGACCAAGUCCAAAGGAAGCACCGGCUAAAUUCGUGCCAGCAGCCGCGGUAAUACGAAUGGUGCAAGCGUUGUUCGGAAUCACUGGGCAUAAAGGGUGCGUAGGCGGCCGGAUAAGUCGGUUGUGAAAUCCCUCGGCUCAACCGGGGAAUCGCUGCCGAUACUGUCUGGCUUGAGGCUGUGAGGGGUGAGCGGAAUUCCAGGUGUAGCGGUGAACUGCGUAGAUAUCUGGGAGAACGCCGGCGGCGAAGGCGGCUCACUGG
This 626-nucleotide ribosomal RNA is filed under the name uncultured organism. Its description in RNAcentral is "bacterial SSU rRNA". It matches the Rfam family "Bacterial small subunit ribosomal RNA", at positions 88 to 732 of the family's 1533-position model. The record is from RNAcentral.